This 465-nucleotide ribosomal RNA is filed under the name uncultured bacterium. RNAcentral's name for it is "bacterial SSU rRNA". It matches the Rfam family "Bacterial small subunit ribosomal RNA", at positions 338 to 795 of the family's 1533-position model. The record is from RNAcentral.
CCUACGGGGGGCAGCAGUGGGGAAUUUUGGACAAUGGGCGCAAGCCUGAUCCAGCCAUGCCGCGUGCGGGAAGAAGGCCUUCGGGUUGUAAACCGCUUUUGGCCGGAACGAAACGGCGAUGCCUAACACGCGUCGCUAAUGACGGUACCGGCAGAAUAAGCACCGGCUAACUACGUGCCAGCAGCCGCGGUAAUACGUAGGGUGCGAGCGUUAAUCGGAAUUACUGGGCGUAAAGCGUACGCAGGCGGCCGAGCAAGACGGAUGUGAAAUCCCCGGGCCUAACCUGGGAACUGCAUUCGUGACUGCUCGGCUCGAGUCCGUCAGAGGGGGGUGGAAUUCCACGUGUAGCAGUGAAAUGCGUAGAUAUGUGGAGGAACACCGAUGGCGAAGGCAGCCCCCUGGGAUGAGACUGACGCUCAGGUACGAAAGCGUGGGGAGCAAACAGGAUUAGAUACCCCUGUAGUC